UACGAAGGGGGCUAGCGUUGCUCGGAAUCACUGGGCGUAAAGCGCACGUAGGCGGAUCUUUAAGUCAGGGGUGAAAUCCUGGAGCUCAACUCCAGAACUGCCUUUGAUACUGGAGAGCUUGAGUCCGGGAGAGGUGAGUGGAACUCCGAGUGUAGAGGUGAAAUUCGUAGAUAUUCGGAAGAACACCAGUGGCGAAGGCGGCUCACUGGCCCGGUACGUGACGCUGAGGUGCGAAAGCGUGGGGAGCAAACAGGG
Molecule: ribosomal RNA, 255 nt
Filed under: uncultured bacterium
Lineage: Bacteria
Description: partial 16S ribosomal RNA
Rfam family: Bacterial small subunit ribosomal RNA
Source: RNAcentral